GACGAACCGAGCGAACGUUGUUCGGAAUCACUGGGCUUAAAGGGCGCGUAGGCGGGUUCGCAAGUCCGGGGUGAAAUCCCACAGCUCAACUGUGGAACUGCCUCGGAUACUGCGGGUCUCGAGGGUGGUAGGGGUAUGCGGAACUAUCGGUGGAGCGGUGAAAUGCGUUGAUAUCGAUAGGAACUCCGGUGGCGAAGGCGGCAUACUGGACCACUUCUGACGCUGAGGCGCGAAAGCCAGGGGAGCAAACGGG
RNAcentral lists this ribosomal RNA (253 nucleotides) under uncultured bacterium. Its description in RNAcentral is "partial 16S ribosomal RNA". It matches the Rfam family "Bacterial small subunit ribosomal RNA", at positions 524 to 776 of the family's 1533-position model. The record is from RNAcentral.